AUCGUUUAUCCUGAAACGGACGGAAGUAAACCAUUUAAGGUUGAAGAAACGCUCU
The submitters of this non-coding RNA (55 nucleotides) gave its source as unclassified sequences. The record is from Rfam.